RNAcentral lists this ribosomal RNA (395 nucleotides) under uncultured bacterium. Its description in RNAcentral is "partial 16S ribosomal RNA". It matches the Rfam family "Bacterial small subunit ribosomal RNA", at positions 523 to 918 of the family's 1533-position model. The record is from RNAcentral.
AUACAGAGGGUGCAAGCGUUAAUCGGAAUUACUGGGCGUAAAGCGUGCGCAGGCGGUUUUGUAAGACAGAGGGGAAAUCCCCGGGCUCAAACUGGGAACUGCCUUUGUGACUGCAAGGCUAGAGGACGGCAGAGGGGGAUGGAAUUCCUGGUGGAGCAGUGAAAUGCGUAGAUAUGCGGAGGAACACCGAUGGCGAAGGCAAUCCCCUGGGCCUGUACUGACGCUCAUGCACGAAAGCGUGGGGAGCAAACAGGAUUAGAUACCCUGGUAGUCCACGCCCUAAACGAUGUCAACUGGUUGUUGGGUCUUCAUUGACUCAGUAACGAAGCUAACGCGUGAAGUUGACCGCCUGGGGAGUACGGCCGCAAGGUUGAAACUCAAAUGAAUUGGCGGGG